RNAcentral lists this ribosomal RNA (497 nucleotides) under uncultured bacterium. RNAcentral's name for it is "partial 16S ribosomal RNA". It matches the Rfam family "Bacterial small subunit ribosomal RNA", at positions 28 to 523 of the family's 1533-position model. The record is from RNAcentral.
GACGAACGCUGGCGGCGUGCUUAACACAUGCAAGUCGAGCGGUAAGGCCCUGACUUUGCUGGGGUACACGAGCGGCGAACGGGUGAGUAACACGUGAGUAAUCUGCCCUUCACUCUGGGAUAAGCUUCGGAAACGGGGUCUAAUACCGGAUAUGACCACUUCUCGCAUGGGAUGGUGGUGGAAACUUUUGUGGGUGGGGGGUGUGCUCGCGGCCUAUCCGCUUGUUGGUGGGGUAAUGGCCUACCAAGGCUUCGACGGGUAGCCGGCCUGAGAGGGUGACGGGUCACACUGGGACGGAGACACGGCCCAGACUCCUACGGGAGGCAGCAGUGGGGAAUAUUGGACAAUGGGCGGAAGCCUGAUCCAGCAACGCCGCGUGAGGGAUGACGGCCUUCGGGUUGUAAACCUCUUUCACCAUUGACGAAGUCGCACAGUGUGUGUGGUGACGGUAGGUGGGGAAGAAGCACCGGCCAACUACGUGCCAGCCGCCGCCGUAA